RNAcentral lists this long non-coding RNA (234 nucleotides) under Vulpes vulpes (red fox). Its description in RNAcentral is "lncRNA (ENSVVUG00000008378.1)". The record is from RNAcentral. Lineage: Eukaryota; Metazoa; Chordata; Mammalia; Carnivora; Canidae.
CUCAAGAUCUAAGGAGAGCCUGUGCAUUAAAGGCACAUAGUUCCUGAUGACCGUAUUCUUGAUUCCAGCAGGAGUCUACCAAGAGAUCAGUGCUUCAGAAAGUUCUUGUGAUUUUGCUCAGAGACUGAGUUUUUCUUCAGUGUCAGAAGGUCUACUGCAAAUAUCAAAUGGCUGCAUGACCCUGGGACCAUGCAAUGCAGUGCCAAGACUAAUUCUUACAUAACUUAAGUUGAG